UCCAUGGGGAGUGCGGUUUCCCCACGAGGCUUCGGCCGAACGAUCGCGUCCCGACCCCCCUGGUUUUCCCGUCGCGACCGUCGAGGCUGCCUGAUG
Molecule: regulatory RNA element, 96 nt
Rfam family: chrB-a RNA
Source: Rfam